CUCCCUUGCUCGGGGAGCUGCCCCGCUGUCCCCUGAGCUGCGGCUCCCUCGCACACAGGGGUCCCACUGCCCGCGAGAGGGCGGGCACCCCGGACGUGCUCUCCCCCAACCUGGAAGCCCCGGGCAGGCACUGAAGAGGCCAGAGAUGGGGGGCCCCAAUUCAAUCAAAGUAUCUAGUCCCUUUGGAUUUUCUGCUAAGUAGUCCAGUAACUUCCCAGUUUUCUUUCUACUUGAGGGUCGACAAGAUAUUUCUUCAGCGUCCUCUCUACAAGCAAGAACAUGAAAAACCAUGUGCCACAAAUUCUGACAAAGCACUUCAGGUAAAUUACAUAAGCAGUGAAGACAACUAUUAAGAAACCAAAACCAAAGUCAAACAGACAUGCUUCACUGAAAUGAACAUAAAGUAUCUAAUGAUGGAAGUGAGAGAAACUACUGAAGAAAAUCAAUCCAGUAACUCUCAGAGAUUCAGUAAAACAAAUUUCAACAAGGAGCAGUAACACCAACAUGCAAAACAGAUAUGGCAGCUGUGAAGUGACUGGAAUCCUGAAAGAGAUUAAACAGUGGUUUCCCCCAUGCCCUUGGACCUUCACUGUGCUGCUGGAAUGGAGACACCAACCAUCUAUAAUAGUGGUUCUCAAACUUCUGUGCUGGUGACCCCUUUCACACAGCAAGUCUUUGAGUGCGACCCCCCCCAUUA
Chelonoidis abingdonii (Abingdon island giant tortoise) is the source of this 697-nucleotide long non-coding RNA. RefSeq lists it as uncharacterized. Lineage: Eukaryota; Metazoa; Chordata; Testudines; Testudinidae. The record is from RefSeq and is a predicted model, not a curated record.